GAAUCAAGAUGGCCGCCUGGGACCGCUCUCAGCCCCUUCGGCCUCUACCUGAAGAGCCACGCCCCGUCUGCUACACCCAACUGAUUGGUUCCUCAAUCACAGAGAGGAAAGGCAACAUGAGGAUGACGUCAGUUACAAAUAUGGCGUUUUGGACGGGCUCGAUAGUUUGCUUGGCCUCUACUCAAGGAAUGCUGAUGGUAUAGCAAGAAGGUAUUCUGAGCAUUAUAUCAAUGGGGAAGUUCUAGAUCUUUUGCAAAGCAGGAGCAAGCUGCCCUGUUGUGAGCUCUCCGGUGGAGAGCCCCACAUGGCAAGAAAAUGAGAAGCCCCCUGAACAGACAAGAGCUGAGGCCCAGGAUACAAUAUCCUGAAAAAAACUGAAUCCUGCUGACAGUUGCCCAAGUGAAGCUGGAAGUGGAUCUUUCUGCAGUGGAUCCUUGAGAUGACUGUAGCCCUGGCUGACAACUUGAUUGCUGCCUGUGAAGGACCCUGAACCAGAGGACUCAGCGAAAUUGUGCCCAGAUUCCUGACCUACAGAGGCAGUGAGAUAAUAAAUGCUGUUGAGGUCACAAAGUUUUGAGAGCUCAGAGGAAAGGCCGUGUGGACACAGCAUAAAGGCCACCAUCUGCAAGCCAGGAAUUGAGCCCUCACCAGGAAUUAGUCAGCUGAUGCCUUGAUGUUGGAAUUCCCAGGCUCCAAAACUGUGAGAAGAUUAAUUUCUGUUGUUUAAGCCACUCAAUUUAUAGUAUUUUAUUAUGGCAGUUCAAGCAGCCUAAGACACCCAUUUAUCCUUUUCCAGAUACAGCCUCCAUCUCCUCCCAAAUUUCAAAGUAAUAAUUUCCUUGCUUUUCUUUAGCGUUUAACCUUCUGUGUUUAGUU
This 876-nucleotide long non-coding RNA is filed under the name Homo sapiens (human). RNAcentral's name for it is "HSALNT0311379". Lineage: Eukaryota; Metazoa; Chordata; Mammalia; Primates; Hominidae. The record is from RNAcentral.